This 231-nucleotide ribosomal RNA is filed under the name Serratia nematodiphila. RNAcentral's name for it is "partial 23S ribosomal RNA". It matches the Rfam family "Bacterial large subunit ribosomal RNA", at positions 2718 to 2925 of the family's 2925-position model. The record is from RNAcentral. Lineage: Bacteria; Pseudomonadati; Pseudomonadota; Gammaproteobacteria; Enterobacterales; Yersiniaceae.
GGGUUGUCAUGCCAAUGGCAUUGCCCGGUAGCUAAGUGCGGAAAAGAUAAGCGCUGAAAGCAUCUAAGCGCGAAACUUGCCUCAAGAUGAGUCUUCCCUGGGCCUUYAAGGCCCCUGAAGGAACGUUUAAGACUAAGACGUUGAUAGGCUGGGUGUGUAAGUGCAGCGAUGCAUUGAGCUAACCAGUACUAAUGAUCCGUGAGGCUUAACCUUACAACACCGAAGGUGUUU